This 1048-nucleotide long non-coding RNA is filed under the name Phascolarctos cinereus (koala). RNAcentral describes it as "lncRNA (ENSPCIG00000007672.2)". Lineage: Eukaryota; Metazoa; Chordata; Mammalia; Diprotodontia; Phascolarctidae. The record is from RNAcentral.
CUAUGCGCAUCCCUCACAUAAACUCCUUUGUCGCCCAAAUUUUCAGGAUGCGAAAGCAUUGUUCUGGAACUCAGAAGACUUGGAUUUCAGGCACAGUUCCUUGUGGCCAGGAGACCUUGAAGAAGACACUGUCCUUCGAGAGCCAUCGAACUCAAAGUUGUUGCUCUGCUCCAGAUUUCACGGGGAGAUUCAGUUCAUUUCAGCGAGCGCAAUUAGGUGACUCCCAGGGGUUAAGUGCUGAUGUGUGGAUGUGCAGAUGCAAGAGGACAGCUCAACCUUCCAGUCCCCCAGACAGCAAUUCUCCAUCACAGCUUUGCCGUCUCUGGUCUGGAUCCCCUCCUCUGUGUGACUGCAGCCUCCAUCCUGGCCCAGGCCCCCAUCACCUCUCCUUUGGACACCGGCAAUUCCUCUUCCUUCCUGGUCUCCCCGUGUGCCGUCUCUCCUCUCGCCCUAACCAACACCCUGAGAGCUCCGGCCCCCUCAAGUCUCUCCUCUGCUCUGCAAGCUUGUGUGACGGCUUCCUAUCACCUCCAGGAUCCGAUCCGAAGGGCAUUUCAAGCCUUUCGUUACCUGGUUCCAGCCUAUUCCAGGCUGGUUACUCUUCCCGCCCCCUACCCCGGCACUUUGCACCCUGGACCAGCUGACCUUCUUGCUGUCCGUUAUCUGUGGCUCCCAGAUCUUUGUCCCAUCUGUCUUCAAUGCCAGGACCCUGAACUCCCUUCAAAGCUCAGCCCAAGUGCCGCCUCUCCAAUUUCAUUCCCGUCUCCUUACUGCCCCCCUCCAAUUUCCAGCCAAAAUCACUGUAUUUAUUUUGUAACUUGUACAUAAUCUCCUUGAAGCUAGAGAUGUUUCCUUCCCUCUGCUCGUAUCCUUUGAACCUAGUCCAGUCCCUGGGACAGAGUAUUCACUUAACAAAUGUUUGCUGAUUGACUAUUCGGUUGAUUCCCUUUCCUUGGCUCCUCAUAGAUAGAGGCUGGUAAAGUGGGAGACUGCCUUCGAAUCUUUUCUCUAACGCUAGUUGUGUGAUCACGAGUCAAGUCACAGCCCA